AGGAAAACACGCAAUAAUUGAAUUAAGUUUAAAGACAGUUUAUGAUAUAAUUCUUGAUGGUCUGGUCACACUAAAGGUGUUUCUGCAAUAAGAUUCUUUCCGAAAUCUGCUCAUCUUCUUCUGUCGUGUAGCAUGGAUUGUAAAAUUAAGGUAAAAAGUCAUUUUCUCUGUCUUACAUGUCGUUGUUCAUUUUGAGUUUGGUUGUACAUCGUUGAAUGUUCCUCCAACAUUACUGGAGAAACUGCAAGAUGAUAUUCAUGUAAGCGCCAACGGCUCUGUUUUU
Xenia sp. Carnegie-2017 is the source of this 283-nucleotide long non-coding RNA. RefSeq lists it as uncharacterized. Lineage: Eukaryota; Metazoa; Cnidaria; Anthozoa; Malacalcyonacea; Xeniidae. The transcript is spliced from 3 exons. The record is from RefSeq and is a predicted model, not a curated record.